Molecule: ribosomal RNA, 274 nt
Filed under: uncultured bacterium
Lineage: Bacteria
Description: partial 16S ribosomal RNA
Rfam family: Bacterial small subunit ribosomal RNA
Source: RNAcentral
ACACGGGGGGCGCAAGCGUUAUUCGGAAUUAUUGGGCGUAAAGGGCGCGUAGGCGGUCUUGUCGGUCAGAUGUGAAAGCCCAGGGCUCAACCCUGGACGUGCAUUUGAAACAGCAAGACUUGAGUACGGGAGAGGAAAGCGGAAUUCCUGGUGUAGAGGUGAAAUUCGUAGAUAUCAGGAGGAACACCGAUGGCGAAGGCAGCUUUCUGGACCGAUACUGACGCUGAGGCGCGAAGGCGUGGGUAGCGAACAGGAUUAGAUACCCCGGUAGUCC